RNAcentral lists this ribosomal RNA (490 nucleotides) under uncultured bacterium. RNAcentral's name for it is "partial 16S ribosomal RNA". It matches the Rfam family "Bacterial small subunit ribosomal RNA", at positions 30 to 507 of the family's 1533-position model. The record is from RNAcentral.
AUUGAACGCUGGCGGCAUGCCUAACACAUGCAAGUCGAACGGUAACACGAAGCAGCUUGCUGCUUCGCUUGCGAGUGGCGGACGGGUGGGAAAUGUCUGUAACACUGCCUGAUGGAGGGGGAUACCUACUGUAAACGGUAGCUAAUACCGCAUAACGUCGCAAGACAAAGGAGCGGGACCUUAGGGCCUCUUUCCAUCGGCGGUGCCCAGAUGGGAUUAGCUAGGAGGUGGGGUAACGGCUCACCUAGGCGACGAUCCCUAGCUGGUCUGAGAGGAUGACCAGCCACACUGGAACUGAGACACGGUCCAGACUCCUACGGGAGGCAGCAGUGGGGAAUAUUGCACAAUGGGCGCAAGCCUGAUGCAGCCAUGCCGCGUGUAUGAAGAAGGCCUUCGGGUUGUAAAGUACUUUCAGCGGGGAGGAAGGGAGUAAAGUUAAUACCUUGGCUCAUUGACGUUACCCGCAGAAGAAGCACCGGCUAACUCCGUG